CGCGGUGAUACGGAGGGUGCAAGCGUUAAUCGGAAUUACUGGGCGUAAAGCGCACGCAGGCGGUUUGUUAAGUCAGAUGUGAAAUCCCCGCGCUUAACGUGGGAACUGCAUUUGAAACUGGCAAGCUAGAGUCUUGUAGAGGGGGGUAGAAUUCCAGGUGUAGCGGUGAAAUGCGUAGAGAUCUGGAGGAAUACCGGUGGCGAAGGCGGCCCCCUGGACAAAGACUGACGCUCAGGUGCGAAAGCGUGGGGAGCUAACAGGAUUAGAUACCCUGGUAGUCCACGCUGUAAACGAUGUCGACUUGGAGGUUGUGCCCUUGAGGCGUGGCUUCCGGAGCUAACGCGUUAAGUCGACCGCCUGGGGAGUACGGCCGCAAGGUUAAAACUCAAAUGAAUUGACGGGGGCCCGCACAAGCGGUGGAGCAUGUGGUUUAAUUCGAUGCAACGCGAAGAACCUUACCUACUCUUGACAUCCACGGAAUUCGCUAGAGAUAGCUUAGUGCCUUUGGGAACCGUGAGACAGGUGCUGCAUGGCUGUCGUCAGCUCGUGUUGUGAAAUGUUGGGUUAAGUCCCGCAACGAGCGCAACCCUUAUCCUUUGUUGCCAGCACGUAAUGGUGGGAACUCAAAGGAGACUGCCGGUGAUAAACCGGAGGAAGGUGGGGAUGACGUCAAGUCAUCAUGGCCCUUACGAGUAGGGCUACACACGUGCUACAAUGGCAUAUACAAAGAGAAGCGAACUCGCGAGAGCAAGCGGACCUCAUAAAGUAUGUCGUAGUCCGGAUUGGAGUCUGCAACUCGACUCCAUGAAGUCGGAAUCGCUAGUAAUCGUAGAUCAGAAUGCUACGGUGAAUACGUUCCCGGGCCUUGUACACACCGCCCGUCACACCAUGGGAGUGGGUUGCAAAAGAAGUAGGUAGCUUAACCUUCGGGAGGGCGCUUACCACUUUGUGAUUCAUG
RNAcentral lists this ribosomal RNA (958 nucleotides) under uncultured bacterium. RNAcentral's name for it is "bacterial SSU rRNA". It matches the Rfam family "Bacterial small subunit ribosomal RNA", at positions 516 to 1473 of the family's 1533-position model. The record is from RNAcentral.